AGAGUUUGAUCCUGGCUCAGAUUGAACGCUGGCGGCAGGCCUAACACAUGCAAGUCGAACGGUAACAGGAAGCAGCUUGCUGCUUCGCUGACGAGUGGCGGACGGGUGAGUAAUGUCUGGGAGACUGCCUGAUGGAGGGGGAUAACUACUGGAAACGGUGGCUAAUACCGCAUAACGUCGCAAGACCAAAGAGGGGGACCUUCGGGCCUCUUGCCAUCAGAUGUGCCCAGAUGGGAUUAGCUUGUUGGUGAGGUAACGGCUCACCAAGGCGACGAUCCCUAGCUGGUCUGAGAGGAUGACCAGCCACACUGGAACUGAGACACGGUCCAGACUCCUACGGGAGGCAGCAGUGGGGAAUAUUGCACAAUGGGCGCAAGCCUGAUGCAGCCAUGCCGCGUGUAUGAAGAAGGCCUUCGGGUUGUAAAGUACUUUCAGCGGGGAGGAAGGUGUUGUGGUUAAUAACCGCAGCAAUUGACGUUACCCGCAGAAGAAGCACCGGCUAACUCCGUGCCAGCAGCCGCGGUAAUACGGAGGGUGCAAGCGUUAAUCGGAAUUACUGGGCGUAAAGCGCACGCAGGCGGUCUGUCAAGUCGGAUGUGAAAUCCCCGGGCUCAACCUGGGAACUGCAUUCGAAACUGGCAGGCUUGAGUCUUGUAGAGGGGGGUAGAAUUCCAGGUGUAGCGGUGAAAUGCGUAGAGAUCUGGAGGAAUACCGGUGGCGAAGGCGGCCCCCUGGACAAAGACUGACGCUCAGGUGCGAAAGCGUGGUGAGCAAACAGGAUUAGAUACCCUGGUAGUCCACGCCGUAAACGAUGUCUACUUGGAGGUUGUGCCCUUGAGGCGUGGCUUCCGGAGCUAACGCGUUAAGUAGACCGCCUGGGGAGUACGGCCGCAGGGUUAAAACUCAAAUGAAUUGACGGGGGCCCGCACAAGCGGUGGAGCAUGUGGUUUAAUUCGAUGCAACGCGAAGAACCUUACCUGGUCUUGACAUCCACAGAAGAAUCCAGAGAUGGAUUUGUGCCUUCGGGAACCGUGAGACAGGUGCUGCAUGGCUGUCGUCAGCUCGUGUUGUGAAAUGUUGGGUUAAGUCCCGCAACGAGCGCAACCCUUAUCCUUUGUUGCCAGCGGUUAGGCCGGGAACUCAAAGGAGACUGCCAGUGAUAAAUUGGAGGAAGGUGGGGAUGACGUCAAGUCAUCAUGGCCCUUACGACCAGGGCUACACACGUGCUACAAUGGCGCAUACAAAGAGAAGCGACCUCGCGAGAGCAAGCGGACCUCAUAAAGUGCGUCGUAGUCCGGAUUGGAGUCUGCAACUCGACUCCAUGAAGUCGGAAUCGCUAGUAAUCGUGGAUCAGAAUGCCACGGUGAAUACGUUCCCGGGCCUUGUACACACCGCCCGUCACACCAUGGGAGUGGGUUGCAAAAGAAGUAGGUAGCUUAACCUUCGGGAGGGCGCUUACCACUUUGUGAUUCAUGACUGGGGUGAAGUCGUAACAAGGUAACC
This 1503-nucleotide ribosomal RNA is filed under the name Salmonella sp. RNAcentral describes it as "partial 16S ribosomal RNA". It matches the Rfam family "Bacterial small subunit ribosomal RNA". Lineage: Bacteria; Pseudomonadati; Pseudomonadota; Gammaproteobacteria; Enterobacterales; Enterobacteriaceae. The record is from RNAcentral.